This is a long non-coding RNA of Zingiber officinale, 2939 nucleotides long. RefSeq lists it as uncharacterized. The transcript is spliced from 3 exons. The record is from RefSeq and is a predicted model, not a curated record. NCBI's taxonomy places the organism in Eukaryota, Viridiplantae, Streptophyta, Magnoliopsida, Zingiberales, Zingiberaceae.
AUGAUAUGCUAUGUGAAAUAUUUCCGUGAAAUGGGAACGUGAACGACGUGGAUAUCCAUGUAAGCAUAGCUGGCUGGCUGAUUUCCUUCUUUCUUUUCUUCUUCCCGUAGAUUGAUUUCUUUCUUUCUUUCUUUCUUCCUCCUCCCUCCUUUCUUUCUACCUUUUUCCCGACGACCCUUCUCCCUUUUUCCCAUUUUCCCAACGAUCAUAGCUUCCCCUCUCGCGCGUGGCCUCUACUCUUACUUUUUGCCCUACGUUUUGCCUCCCUUUCUCCUGUCCGUCCGACCUUCAAUUGUGUUCGUGCUCGUCCGACGUCUAUGUAGUUUCAACUCGGUCUGACCAUCCGUGCCUUCCACCAUUCGACCGUCUGACCCUCAGCUUUGUUGUUGCACCGUUCGUCACGCACGGUCCUAAAACUGUCAUGGAGGAAGAAAUAAUUGAAUCAUGUGUGCCACUGAAUGAUAGUGAUUUGCAAGCAUUGGGUGAUUUGUCAAGCUCGCGGUGAAAUGAGACUCCAUAAGUUGGGAUGCAUUUUUCAUCUGAAGAGGAUCAAGCUCGUGAUUUUUACAAAUCCUAUGUCCAAGGUCUUGGUUUUGAUAUUUCAAAAAUACGUUCUAAAAAAGGAGAUGAUGGCUAGUAGAAAUAUUUUUUCGUUUGGAUGCUCUAAAAAUGGUAAGAAUGCUCCUAAGUUAAAAAUUCCUUUUAUCCUAGACCUUGUAGCAAAACAGAUUGCAAAGCAAGGAUAAAUAUUAUAGUUCGGAAUGAUGGAUUAUUUUUUCAUUGCUAGUAUUCACCUUGAACACAAUCAUGCAUUAAGUCCAAGAAAGUCGAGAUAUUUUAGAUGCAAUAAAGUGUUAGAUUCCCAAACUAAGAAGAAAUUAGAGUUGAAUGAUCAAACGGGAAUAACUUUGAGUAAAAGUUUUCAAUCAUUUGUUAUUAAAGUUGGUGGCUAUGAAAAUUUAUCGUUUGAUGAGAGAAAGUGUAGAAAUAAUGUGGUUGAAGCAUGUAAAUUAAGACUUAGGUAUGGUGAUGCAGAAGCCUUCAAUAAUUACUUUUGUCGUAUGCAAAGUACAAAUUCAACUUUCUUUUAUUCGAUUGAUGUAGCGAAGAUUGUCGCAUAAGAAAUAUAUUUUGGGAUGAUGCAAGAUGUAGGGCUUCGUAUGAGUAUUUUUCUGAUGUCAUUAUAUUUGAUACUACAUAUCUAACCAAUAAUUAUGAUAUGUUAUUUGCUCCGUUUGUUGGAUUAAAUCAUCAUGAUGAAUCUGUGUUACUUGGUUGUGGUUUGAUAUCUAAAGAAGACUUUGAAACCUUCAUUUGGCUAUUUAAAUCAUGGUUGGCAUACAUGAAAGGACGAGCUUCAUGAGGUAUUAUUACGGAUCAAUGUAAAGCCAUGGAAAUUAUAAUUCUUGAGGUAUUUUCAGACUCUUAUCAUCGCUUAUGUCUUUGGCAUAUUAUGAAAAAAAAAUUCAGCCAAGUUUGGUAGUCAUGCCAACUAUAAGUUGAUUAAGAAAAACUUGAAGAAUAUUGUUUAUAAUUCUUUGACUUCUGAAAAAUGUGAUAGCAAUUGGAAAAAAUUGAUUGAAGAUUUUAAUUUGGAGAAAAUUGAUUGGUUGAGUUCUUUAUGGGAUUGUCGUCAUAAGUGGAUGCAUAUGUAUGUGAAAUAUAAAUUUUGGACAGGGAUGUCGACAAGUCAAAGAAGUGAGAGUAUGAAUGCUUUUUUUUAUGCUUAUGUUCAUUUGAAAACAACUUUGAAGCAAUUUGUUGAACAGUAUGACAGCGCUUUGAAAAACAAGAUUGAAAAGAAAAAUAAUUCUGAUUUUGCGUCUUUCAAUUCAAUCAUUCCUGUCAUUAGUGGUCAUCCAAUUGAAAAGUAGUUUCAAAGUGUCUAUAAUAGCAAGAUAUUCAAGUUGUUUCAGGAUGAAAUGAGAGGUUUGAUGAUUUGUAACACUUUGUUUGUGAAGCAAGAAGGGCCAACUAUCUUAUAUGAAGUCGUGGAAACUAUAUUAGGAAAAGAGGGAGCAACUCCAAAAAAUAUUUCAUUAUUGGUACAAUAUAGUGAGGUAGAAUGUGAGAUGAAGUGUUUAUGCCGUCUCUUUGAGUUUCGAGGAAUUUUAUGUAGAUAUUUGAUUUUUAUUCUUGUCAAAAAGAAUGUCACUAGAGUUCUAAAAAAUUAUAUUUUGGAGCGAUUACGCAAAGAAAUUAAAUGUGGAUAUCAAAGCAUCACCAAUAUUUAUGAUGAUUUUUGUUAUCAUAAAAAAGAAAGACAAAGAUAUAAUAAUCUUCAACCCUUGUUACAAGAAGUGCAUCAGCUUGGGUUAAAGAUAAUGAGAGGUUCUCUGUUUUAAUGGGGAUAUUGAAAGAAGUAAAACAAAAGCUUAUGGAUAUUAACAUUGUUGAUUCGUUGGAUGGUGAUCAAUAUAGAAACAGGAUACAUGGGGAAUCAAGAAUUGAGAGCAAGAAGUUUCACACUCCACUGAAAAUAAGAUCUCAUGGACAUCUACCAACGAAAAGAAAACAAUCCAAAAUUGAGUAAAUUAUGAAAAAAGACAACGGUAAAGAGUAGAAAAAAAGAUUUGGUUGAAUUGAUUAUACUUUUGUUUUAUGUUUUGGAUAUAAUUAAUUUUACUUUUUAUUAUUGUUAACAUUGAACGUAAGUUAUUUUGUCUACAGGGUGAGAGAGUUUGGUAGAAAGCAAGAAGAAUUACCAAAUUUAGGGCAUACAAAUAUGAUCACUAACCAAUGUAGUCAAAAUGUUGUAGCUGAAUUAUGUUCAACAUUUUGACGAGGCACAUAAAGAAACUUGUGACAAUGAUGUGUGUUUGUCAAUGAUGUGUGACAAUGAUAUGAGCUAUUUUUCUCAUUUAACUCCGUUGUUUUGAAUAUGGUAUAUAGAAUGUAUUCUUGGUUAUGUUUUUCUCAUCCUUACACUUUAAUGUAGU